CUUGUGAAAUGGUAGUCACUCUCAGUAAGUAUGAACUAUGAUGCCUAUUAAUGGCAGAAAAUAGAUGGAAACACUAGUCUUAGCAUUGGUGCUCUAGCUCCCUGCUUGGUUGUAACAGCUCUGACUUUAUGACUUCAAGGAGGAAUUGCAGACCCAUCACUGGCUGGGGAGUCAGGGCUCAGGGAUUCUGUCCCAAGUUCACUAGCUUAUAGGUGGGACCCCAGGCCCACUGUUUAUCUUCCUGAUCUCUGGGGGGCCCAUAAAAGACAAAGGAUGAGUCAGGUAUUCAGCUCCAAAAAAUUAGACUCUCGCUGUAGACGAACUGUAGUUCAGAGUCUGUAAUCUGGAGGACAAUGGAGAGAACAGGGUUGGACCCUGGUGAUAGGGUGUUGACUCGUGAGAUUAUUAGUUUACACUUAACGUUUCUAUAAAAAAACAAAAGGAUGGAAAAUAAAGUCUCAUUGCUAAAAUGGUGACUACCUGAGUGAU
Molecule: long non-coding RNA, 489 nt
Filed under: Bos taurus (domestic cattle)
Lineage: Eukaryota; Metazoa; Chordata; Mammalia; Artiodactyla; Bovidae
Description: long non-coding RNA NONBTAT025894
Source: RNAcentral